Molecule: ribosomal RNA, 503 nt
Filed under: uncultured bacterium
Lineage: Bacteria
Description: bacterial SSU rRNA
Rfam family: Bacterial small subunit ribosomal RNA
Source: RNAcentral
GAUGAACGCUGGCGGCAUGCCUAAGACAUGCAAGUCGAACGAAACGGCCCAUUGAUUUUUGAGUACUUGUACGAAAUUUGAUUUGGAUUUUCCGUUUAGUGGCAGACGGGUGAGUAACACGUAAGUAAUCUACCUCAAAGUUUGGGAUAACGUUUGGAAACGGACGCUAAUACCGCAUAAUGUAUCCGGAGGGCAUCCUCUGGAUACCAAAGCUUAAUGUGCUGAGAGAUGGUCUCGCGUCUGAUUAGCUAGAUGGCGGGUAACGGCCCACCAUGGCGACGAUCAGUAGCCGGUCUGAGAGGAUGAACGGCCACAUUGGGACUGAGAUACGGCCCAGACUCCUACGGGAGGCAGCAGUGGGGAAUAUUGGGGCAAUGGGGGGAAACCCUGACCCAGGCAACGCCGCGUGAAGGAAGAAAGGGCUUUCGGGUUGGUAAACUUCGUUUUACCAGGGUACGAAGGGACGUGACGGUACCUGGAGAAAAGCAACGGCUAACUACGUG